This 217-nucleotide ribosomal RNA is filed under the name uncultured bacterium. RNAcentral's name for it is "partial 16S ribosomal RNA". It matches the Rfam family "Bacterial small subunit ribosomal RNA", at positions 28 to 250 of the family's 1533-position model. The record is from RNAcentral.
GACGAACGCUGGCGGCGUGCUUAAUACAUGCAAGUCGAAGGGGUUGUAGUCUUCGGACUGCAAUCACUGGCGCACGGGUGAGUAACACGUAAGUAAUCUGCCCUCGGGUCUGACAUAACUCCGGGAAACCGGAGCUAAUAGCAGAUGACAUGGGAACAUCAAAGGAUCAGCGCAAGCUGAUCUGCCCGGGGAUGAGCUUGCGUCUGAUUAGCUAGUU